This is a long non-coding RNA of Spinacia oleracea (spinach), 1100 nucleotides long. RefSeq lists it as uncharacterized. The record is from RefSeq and is a predicted model, not a curated record. Lineage: Eukaryota; Viridiplantae; Streptophyta; Magnoliopsida; Caryophyllales; Amaranthaceae. The transcript is spliced from 2 exons.
UCACAGCCAAGGCUCAAAUCUAUGUGGCAAUUAAUUUGAAUUCUGGCUUUAUGAUUUUUCCGCAUGAAUCAUAUUAUUGUAUUGUUCAUAACCUAACAGGUAGGAGAACGGAAAAAAGACAAAAAAAAAAAAACAGAAGAAAAAAGUAAAAGAAAAAAAUUUAUAAAUAAAUAAAUUAGAAACGUUGACCUUUAUUUUCACCAGUUACCGGUUACUUAAGCUCAAUAAAAGUAGUUAGGUUGUAAUGGUGGGAUUAUUAAAAAAGAUGUCAUAGGUGGGCUUAGGCUUAUUCUUGUGUGGACCUGGUCCACGUUAAUAUUAUUGUGGACCCAAAAAACACAUGUGCCAAAAUUGUGAUUUAGAGGAAAGUCCCUCCUCACUCUGUACUCUCAUCUUCUCUCGACACUCUCGUCAAUCUCUCUCUCCCCUCACCUUUUCACGCUUUCGUUCUCUCUCCUUAUUGUGAAUGAAAAAACUUGAAGCAAAUUCAACAAACAAAUGGACGAUCAAUUGAUGAAUCUAGUGAAACCCGACAUUGAAGGUAAUUGUAAAAUCUUCAGAAAAUUGUCUUCGACUCAGGGUCCUAAACCCUAAUCCUCGAUUCUUCGAUCUCUAUGUCUGCUUCUUUCCUCCUUUGAUUUACAAAAAGUGGAGUUUUCUGAGCAGCACCACGUUGAUCCAAGACAUCAUUGCCACCUUCGUCCUCGUCAAUCCCCUUUUUUCUAAUCAGAUAUCAAGCACAACUUUAGAAAAACUUGAUGUAUAUGGCUGUAAUUGCUGAUGCCCAACCUCAGGUGGCAACAGUACCUUCCCAAGUAUGCUUGCUUACCUCAUCACUUUACUGGCCAUAUGACAAUGUUGUAAACAUGAACUUUAUAGCUUGUUUCAAUGUUGGUUUUUGUAUAUUUUAUGAUGCACUAUAUCACUAAUAAAGGUGACCAUAAGGAGGUAAUGUGAACUAUUAUUGAUGGUAGUCUCUAUAGCUCUUUUUGGUGUUUAUUUUUUCUGGUUUAUCUGUAAUGUGUGAUGUACCUGAUACCUAUUAAAUUUCGUGCUAAACUAGCAAAGCCAAUAUGGGGUUGGAGAGGAGCCAAUCUGAA